AGUUUGAUUAUGGCUCAGAUUGAACGCUGGCGGGAUGUUUACACAUGCAAGCGAACGGCAGCACGGACUUCGGUCUGUGAAGCAGUGGCGAACGGGUGAGUAAUGUAUCGAAACGUGCCUAGUAGCGGGGAUAACUACGCGAAAGCGUAGCUAAUACCGGGCAUACGCCCUUCGGGGAAAGCGGGGGACCUUCGGGCCUCGCACUAUUAGAGCGGCCGAUAUCGGAUUAGCUAGUUGGUGGGGUAACGGCUCACCAAGGCGACGAUCCGUAGCUGGUUUGAGAGGACGACCAGCCACACUGGGACUGAGAUACGGCCCAGACUCUACGGGAGGCAGGGAAUUUUGGACAAUGGGGAAACCCGAUCCAGCCAUCCGCGUGUGCGAUGAAGUACCUGGGUUGUAAAGCACUUUGGCAGGAAAGAAACGGCACGGGAUAAUACCCGCAACUUCGACGGUACCUGCAGAAUAAGCACCGGCUAACUACGUGCCAGCAGCCGCGGUAAUAAUGUGGUGGGUGCAAGCGUUAAUCGGAAUUACUGGGCGUAAAGCGUGCGCAGGCGGUUCGGAAAGAAAGAUGAAAUCCUUAUAGCCUUAACUUUGGAACUGCAUUUUUAACUACCGAGCUAGAGUUGUCAGAGAGUGAAUUCCGCGUGUAGCAGUGAAAUGCGUAGAUAUGCGGAGUGAACACCGAUGGCGAAGGCAGCUUUCCUGAUAACACUACAUCGCUCAUGCACGUGAGCGUGGGGAGCAAAACAGGACAGAUACCCUGGUAGUCCACGCCCCAAACGAUGUCAACUAGCUGUUGGGGCCUUCGGGCCUCUGCAGCGCAGCUAACGCGUGUAAAGCUACGCCUUGGGGAGUACGGUCAAAGAUUAAAACUUCAAAGGAAUUGACGGGACCCGCACAAGCGGUGAUAUGGAUUAAUUCGAUGCAAAUUCCGCGCGAAAACCUUACUCACCUCUUUGACAGCGUUCAACCCCGAAGAGAUUUGGGAGUGCUCAAAAGAGAACCGGAACAGGUGCUGCAUGGCUGUCGUCAGCUCGUGUCGUGAGAUGUUGGGUUAAGUCCCGCAACGAGCGCAACCCUUGUCAUUAGUUACAUGAAAGGGCACUCUAGACGAGACUGCCGGUAUAAAACCGGAGGAAGUGGGGAGCACGUCAAGUCCUCAUGGUCUUUAUGGGUAGGGCUUCACACGUUACACAAUGGUCGGGACAGAGGGUCGCCAACCCAUGAGGGGAGCCAAUCCCAGCAGUAAACCGAUCGUAGUCCGGAUCGCAGUCUGCAACUCGACUGCGUGAAGCUUUCAACUGGGUUAGUAAUCGCGGAUCAGCAUGUCGCGCAGGGAAUACGUUCCCGGGUCUUGUACACACCGCCCGUCACACCAUGGGAUAGUUUACACAGAAGUAGUUAGCCUAACCGUAAGGAGUGAAGGAUUACCACGGUAGUGAUUCUAUGACUGGGGUGGUCGCAUUAAAGGUAG
This 1480-nucleotide ribosomal RNA is filed under the name uncultured Bordetella sp. Its description in RNAcentral is "partial 16S-23S ribosomal RNA intergenic spacer". It matches the Rfam family "Bacterial small subunit ribosomal RNA". Lineage: Bacteria; Pseudomonadati; Pseudomonadota; Betaproteobacteria; Burkholderiales; Alcaligenaceae. The record is from RNAcentral.